UACGGAAGGCAGCAGGGGGAAUAUUGCACAAUGGGCGCAAGCCUGAUGCAGCCAUGCCGCGUGUAUGAAGAAGGCCUUCGGGUUGUAAAGUACUUUCAGUCGUGAGGAAGGUGUUAAGGUUAAUAACCUUAGCAAUUGACGUUAGCGACAGAAGAAGCACCGGCUAACUCCGUGCCAGCAGCCGCGGUAAUACGGAGGGUGCGAGCGUUAAUCGGAAUUACUGGGCGUAAAGGGCACGCAGGCGGUUAAUUAAGUUGGAUGUGAAAUCCCCGGGCUUAACCUGGGAAUGGCAUUCAAGACUGGUUAGCUAGAGUCUUGUAGAGGGGGUAGGAAUUCCAUGUGUAGCGGUGAAAUGCGUAGAGAUGUGGAGGAAUACCGGUGGCGAAGGCGGCCCCUCGGCAAAGACUGACGCUCAUGUGCGAAAGCGUGGGGA
This 433-nucleotide ribosomal RNA is filed under the name uncultured bacterium. Its description in RNAcentral is "bacterial SSU rRNA". It matches the Rfam family "Bacterial small subunit ribosomal RNA", at positions 340 to 767 of the family's 1533-position model. The record is from RNAcentral.